This 492-nucleotide ribosomal RNA is filed under the name Enterobacter hormaechei. Its description in RNAcentral is "partial 23S ribosomal RNA". It matches the Rfam family "Bacterial large subunit ribosomal RNA", at positions 2261 to 2752 of the family's 2925-position model. Lineage: Bacteria; Pseudomonadati; Pseudomonadota; Gammaproteobacteria; Enterobacterales; Enterobacteriaceae. The record is from RNAcentral.
GUGGGUAGUUUGACUGGGGCGGUCUCCUCCCAAAGAGUAACGGAGGAGCACGAAGGUUGGCUAAUCCUGGUCGGACAUCAGGAGGUUAGUGCAAUGGCAUAAGCCAGCUUGACUGCGAGCGUGACGGCGCGAGCAGGUGCGAAAGCAGGUCAUAGUGAUCCGGUGGUUCUGAAUGGAAGGGCCAUCGCUCAACGGAUAAAAGGUACUCCGGGGAUAACAGGCUGAUACCGCCCAAGAGUUCAUAUCGACGGCGGUGUUUGGCACCUCGAUGUCGGCUCAUCACAUCCUGGGGCUGAAGUAGGUCCCAAGGGUAUGGCUGUUCGCCAUUUAAAGUGGUACGCGAGCUGGGUUUAGAACGUCGUGAGACAGUUCGGUCCCUAUCUGCCGUGGGCGCUGGAGAAUUGAGGGGGGCUGCUCCUAGUACGAGAGGACCGGAGUGGACGCAUCACUGGUGUUCGGGUUGUCAUGCCAAUGGCACUGCCCGGUAGCUAA